GGAUGUGAGGGCGAUCUGGCUGCGACAUCUGUAACCCCACUGAUCGCCAGUGUUGGAUUCUACUGAAAUGGUGGGCUAGGCGGCUGUCCUCUUCCACCCUCACCGCCUCAUGUGCUUCCCUCCCAAAGCUGCACGCUUGAUGGAAGAGGCCGACCAUCCCAGAUAGGAAGGUACCACUCUUUGAAA
Molecule: non-coding RNA, 186 nt
Organism: Podarcis lilfordi (Lilford's wall lizard)
Lineage: Eukaryota; Metazoa; Chordata; Lepidosauria; Squamata; Lacertidae
Source: the annotation of a GenBank genome assembly